This 480-nucleotide ribosomal RNA is filed under the name uncultured Gammaproteobacteria bacterium. RNAcentral describes it as "bacterial SSU rRNA". It matches the Rfam family "Bacterial small subunit ribosomal RNA", at positions 162 to 643 of the family's 1533-position model. The record is from RNAcentral. Lineage: Bacteria; Pseudomonadati; Pseudomonadota; Gammaproteobacteria.
GCUAAUACCGCAUAAUGUCUUCGGACCAAACGGGGCUUCGGCUCCGGCGCAAAGAGAGGCCCAAGUGACAUUAGCUAGUUGGUAAGGUAACGGCUUACCAAGGCGACGAUCUCUAGCUGUUCUGAGAGGAAGAUCAGCCACACUGGGACUGAGACACGGCCCAGACUCCUACGGGAGGCAGCAGUGGGGAAUAUUGCACAAUGGGGGAAACCCUGAUGCAGCCAUGCCGCGUGUGUGAAGAAGGCCUUCGGGUUGUAAAGCACUUUCAGUUGUGAGGAAAAGUUAGGAGUUAAUACCUGCUAGCCGUGACGUUAACAACAGAAGAAGCACCGGCUAACUCCGUGCCAGCAGCCGCGGUAAUACGGAGGGUGCGAGCGUUAAUCGGAAUUACUGGGCGUAAAGCGCACGCAGGCGGUUUGUUAAGCUAGAUGUGAAAGCCCCGGGCUCAACCUGGGAUGGUCAUUUAGAACUGGCAGACUA